This 429-nucleotide ribosomal RNA is filed under the name uncultured archaeon. RNAcentral's name for it is "bacterial SSU rRNA". It matches the Rfam family "Archaeal small subunit ribosomal RNA", at positions 474 to 903 of the family's 1478-position model. The record is from RNAcentral.
UACCAGCAGCCCAAGUGGUGAUCGCUAUUAUUGGGCCUAAAGCGUCCGUAGCCGGGUUGGUAAACCCUUGGGUAAAUCGUCCAGCUCAACUGAACGAAUUCCGAGGAGACUGCCAACCUUGGGACCGGGAGAGGUCGGAGGUACUCCAGGGGUAGGGGUGAAAUCCUGUAAUCCUUGGGGGACCACCGGUGGCGAAGGCGUCCGACUAGAACGGGUCCGACGGUAAGGGACGAAGCCCUGGGUCGCAAACCGGAUUAGAUACCCGGGUAGUCCAGGGUGUAAACGCUGCGGGCUUGGUGUUGCGGGUCCUACGAGGGCGCGCAGUGCCGGAGAGAAGUUGUUAAGCCCGCCGCCUGGGGAGUACGCUCGCAAGAGUGAAACUUAAAGGAAUUGGCGGGGGAGCACCGCAACGGGUGGAGCGUGCGGUUU